This 1113-nucleotide long non-coding RNA is filed under the name Homo sapiens (human). RNAcentral describes it as "HSALNT0299307". The record is from RNAcentral. Lineage: Eukaryota; Metazoa; Chordata; Mammalia; Primates; Hominidae.
GGUUUUAACAAUCAGACUAAAUAAGGCGACCUGACUCCAUGCCUGGAAAACUCACCAGGCUCAGGAGAGCUUUGUCAUUAUUACCUCAUCUGAGAGCCACUUAACCCAGGCAGGCCCUGGACGUGCCUUGCUGGCUGAUCUCACGCAGGAGAGAUCGGUGCAGUGCAGGCAGGUGGCAGACUGGCCGUGCCUCCACACGGGCCCUCCCUGGCCACCACUGUUCGGGAUUCAGUUCUUGUUUCUGUUGUUACUCAGAGGGCAUAGAGGAGACCGGCAUACCCAGCGGCCAAAGGCAGGGCCCAGGCGGGGGUGAGCACAGGCUGGGACUCUAUUCCCUGGGGUGAUGGAAGACUGGCUCUUGAGCUGCAUCCUUGGUAGCUUUUCCUUCUUCAUCUCAUUGCCAGUGAGGACACUGAGGAGGAGAAGGAGGUGAGGAGGAGGAAAAAGAUGAGGAAAAGGAGAAAACCAACCACGAUCCACUGUCACCAAAUGAGCAUGCCAGGUUGCCAUGCUGCACAGCUCCAAGAAGCACCACUGUCCAUGUGGUCAACAUGGAUGGAUCCCUGAGGAGGUGUCCAGCAGCAGCCUGCAUGCCAUGCGUGGCUCUGAAGUCAAUAAUCCUGGAAAAAGGGUCAUUCCUUCCCAAUAAACGACAGUGGGCUAUCUCCCGCAGACACCCACGAAAUUUCCCUCCUUUUCCUUCCAUGGAGGACUGGUGAAAACGUCAUCAUGGACCUGACCUGCAUCUGGAGACCAUCCCUCAGAGGUGCUGCAGAGCUCCUUUCUGCCCAGGCAUUUACGGUGGGUGAGAACUUGGAGAGGCGAGCUCACGAGGGAGUUGGGGUUUUGACUUGGCCAUGACUACUCAGCUCAGGAUGAAAGCUGAUACUUUCUGAGUGCAUUCUUUGAUUAACCCUUCAAUCCUCACAAUCACCCCAUGUCACCAGGAGGAAACUGAGGCAAAGUCCACACAACUGGCAAAUCUGGUAUGACUCUCUUUCUGUCACAGCAGUUUGCUGGCAACAGACCUACAGCCAGAUGCUCAGGGCAGUCCCGACAUCAGGCACAGCAGCUGCACUUUUCCGAAGCCCCUUUGCGGAUGCAGCCCUGGGC